Long non-coding RNA from Vicia villosa (hairy vetch), 490 nucleotides. RefSeq lists it as uncharacterized. The transcript has 2 exons. Lineage: Eukaryota; Viridiplantae; Streptophyta; Magnoliopsida; Fabales; Fabaceae. The record is from RefSeq and is a predicted model, not a curated record.
UCAACUCGUAACUCCGAUUGAGCUGAUUCCGGUCCCAUUGGAAAGCUAACGAAUUUCUCUUCGAUUUGCACCUAUGGUUCGCGUUCAUAGCUUAUGUUUUGAAGGAGAAAAGUGAGCUUGAAGUUGGGACAUGCAUGCUGAUUGUGUGUUAAGGUGUGGCUGCGGAUUUGAUGAUGAAGAAUAUGAAUUUUGGGCAAGAAGAGAUUACCAUAGCAGCAAGAACAUGAUCUUAACCUCCAUUAAAUCCAAGGUGCAGUUUAGUAGCGUUUAGUCAGUAGCAGGUUUGGACUGAAGACUUGGAAGUGGUGAUGGCUCGGAGACCUCGUCAGAUCUCAUUUUCCGCUGUGCAGAUCCAUUGAAGAUACAUGUGUUGUAAUUCUUAUUAGGAUAUCAUGUUGUAUUUUAUAUGGAUCUCUCUAUAUCUAUAGCUUUUGUAUGUACUCAAUAUCAAUUUUAACGUUUCAUGCAUAAUAUACUAGUCAGUUAUGUA